GGAAGAUGAGCGCGCCCGGUGGCGCGGCUGGACUUCAAAUCCAGGCGGGGGCGCAACACGUCCCAGGAGGGUUCGACUCCCUUCAUCUUCCGCCA
This 95-nucleotide transfer RNA is filed under the name Nitrospinota bacterium. Its description in RNAcentral is "tRNA-Sec". It matches the Rfam family "Selenocysteine transfer RNA". The record is from RNAcentral. Lineage: Bacteria; Pseudomonadati; Nitrospinota.